CCUACGGGAGGCAGCAGUGACGAAUGUUUGCAAUGGAGGGAAAUUUUGCCCCAGGCAAGGAGCCUGCAAGCCGACACGCUUAUGGGUUGAAAAAUGCUUUUGGGUUGUAAAAAUUUUGUCCAGGGGAAAAAAAUGACGGUACCCGAAGAAGAAGCCCCGGCUAACUACGUGCCAGCAGCCGCGGUAACACGGAGGGGGCGAGCGUUGUCCGGAAUUACUUGGCGUAAAGGGCAGGUAGGCGGAGAUGUAAGUUUGAUGUUAAAGGUACUGGCUCACCCAGUGUACGGCAUCAGAUACUGCAUUUCUAGAAUGCGGUUGGGGAAGACGGAAUUCCUGGUGUAGCGGUGGAAUGCGCAGAGAUCAGGAGGAACACCGAUGGCGAAGGCAGUUUCUAAGCCGUUACUGACGCUAGC
Molecule: ribosomal RNA, 413 nt
Filed under: uncultured bacterium
Lineage: Bacteria
Description: bacterial SSU rRNA
Rfam family: Bacterial small subunit ribosomal RNA
Source: RNAcentral